Molecule: ribosomal RNA, 418 nt
Filed under: uncultured bacterium
Lineage: Bacteria
Description: bacterial SSU rRNA
Rfam family: Bacterial small subunit ribosomal RNA
Source: RNAcentral
AUGAACGUUGGCGGCGUGGAUUAGGCAUGCAAGUCGUGCGAGAAAUUCCAGCUUGCUGGAAUGGACAGCGGCGAAAGGGAGAGUAAUACGUAGAAAUCUGCCCUCGGGUCUGGGAUAGCGUCGGGAAACUGGCGGUAAUACCGGAUAAUGUCUUCGGACCAAAGGUGUGAUUCCGCCGGAGGAUGAGUCUACGACCUAUUAGCUAGUUGGCGGGGUAAUGGCCCACCAAGGCGACGAUGGGUAGCGGGUGUGAGAGCAUGGCCCGCUCACUGGGACUGAGACACUGCCCCAGACAUCUACGGAUGGCUGCAGUCGAGAAUCUUUGCAAUGGACAGAGUCUGAACAAGCGACGCCGCGUGCGGGAUGAAGGCCCUCGGGUUGUAAACCGCUGUCGUAAGGGAGCAAAUCUAUUGGGGUU